Molecule: long non-coding RNA, 1366 nt
Organism: Oncorhynchus tshawytscha (Chinook salmon)
Lineage: Eukaryota; Metazoa; Chordata; Actinopteri; Salmoniformes; Salmonidae
Source: Ensembl
ACCCUGGUCAUAACCCUGGUCAUAAUCACCCUGGCUGUAACCCUAGUCAUAAUCAACCUUGGCUGUAACCCUGGUCAUAAUCAACCCUGGCUGUAACCCUGGCUAUAACCCUGGUCAUAAUCACCCUGGUCAUAAUCACCCUGGCUGUAACUCUGGUCAUAAACACCCUGGCUGUAACUCUGGUCAUAAUCACCCUGGCUGUAACUCUGGUCAUAAUCAACCCUGGCUGUAACCCUGGUCAUAAACAACCCUGGUCAUAAUCAACCCUGGCUGUAACCCUGGUCAUAAACAACCCUGGUCAUAAUCAACCCUGGCUGUAACCCAGGUCAUAAUCAACCCUGGUCAUAGUCACCCUGGCUGUAACCCUGGUCAUAAUCAACCCUGGUCAUAGUCACCCUGGCUGUAACCCUGGUCAUAAUCAACCCUGGUCAUAAUCACCCUGGCUUAACCCUGGUCAUAAACAACCCUGGUCAUAAUCACCCUGGUUGUAACCCUCAUCAUAAUCACCCUGGCUGUAACCCUGGUCAUAAUCACCCUGGCUGUAACCCUGGUCAUAAUCACCCUGGCUGUAACUCUGGUCAUAAUCACCCUGGCUGUAACUCUGGUCAUAAUCACCCUGGCUGUAACUGGUCAUAAUCACCCUGGCUGUAACUCUGGUCAUAAUCACCCUGGCACCCAGAACCAAAUCUCACAAUGGUAUUACUUUAAACCUGAAAGGAGUGUAUAUGUGCACAGAAUGUUGUUAUUAUUCAUGUUGCUUUUUGAAGUUUUGAUGGUGGAAGUUUGGCCGUAUUACUUUGGGUUGACUUGGGAUUCAACAUCAACAUCGGUCCUCGAUGGUGCAGGUACUAGGACCCAGUUGGUAACUGGUUGACGUGGUACAUAUUGGAGACGGUCCUCGACGGUGCAGGUACUAGGGCCCAGUUGGUAACUGGCUGAUGUGGUACAUAUUGAUGUGAUGAUGAUGAUAAUCAUUGGCGUUUAUAAAACAGAUUUCAAAGCGCUUUUAAUUAUAUAGCAGCAUGUGAAAUGAUGGGGCACAACGAUACGUUGUGAAAUGAUGGGGCACAACGAUAUGUUGUGAAAUGAUGGGGUACAACGAUAUGUUGUGAAAUGAUGGGGCACAACGAUACGUUGUGAAAUGAUGGGGCACAACGAUACGUUGUGAAAUGAUGGGGCACAACGAUAUGUUGUGAAAUGAUGGGGUACAACGAUAUGUUGUGAAAUGAUGGGGCACAACGAUAUGUUGUGAAAUGAUGGGGUACAACGAUAUGUUGUGAAAUGAUGGGGCACAACGAUAUGUUGUGAAAUGAUGGGGUACAACGUUAUGUUGUGAAAUGAUGGGGCACAACGAUACGUUGUGAAA